Callithrix jacchus (white-tufted-ear marmoset) is the source of this 116-nucleotide small nuclear RNA. Its record names the gene U5. It matches the Rfam family "U5 spliceosomal RNA". Rfam says of the family: U5 RNA is a component of both types of known spliceosome. The precise function of this molecule is unknown, though it is known that the 5' loop is required for splice site selection and p220 binding, and that both the 3' stem-loop and the Sm site are important for Sm protein binding and cap methylation. The record is from Ensembl. Lineage: Eukaryota; Metazoa; Chordata; Mammalia; Primates; Cebidae.
AUGCUCUGGUUUCUCUUCAUAACGAAUAAAUCUUUCACCUUUUACUACAGAUUUCUGUGGAGAAGAACAAUUAUGAGUUUAUAACCAAAUUUUUUACAUCCUGCUUAAGCAGGGCU